Molecule: unclassified non-coding RNA, 340 nt
Filed under: soil metagenome
Description: partial contains 5.8S ribosomal RNA, internal transcribed spacer 2, and large subunit ribosomal RNA
Rfam family: 5.8S ribosomal RNA (bases 1-120)
Source: RNAcentral
GAUGAAGAACGUAGCGAAAUGCGAUAAGUAGUGUGAAUUGCAGAAUUCAGUGAAUCAUCGAAUCUUUGAACGCACAUUGCGGCCAUAGGUAUUCCUUUGGCCAUGCCUGUUCGAGCGUCAUUUACACCCUCAAGCCUAGCUUGGUGUUGGGCGUCUGUCCCGCCGUUCUCGCGCGCGGACUCGCCUCAAAGUCAUUGGCGGCGGUCGUGCCGGCCCCCUCGCGCAGCACAUUUGCGCUUCUCGGAGGCCCGGCGGAUCCGCGCUCCAGCAAGACCUUUCACGACUUGACCUCGGAUCAGGUAGGGAUACCCGCUGAACUUAAGCAUAUCAAUAAGCGGGA